UACGUAGGGUGCGAGCGUUUAAUCGGAAUUACUGGGCGUAAAGCGUGCGCAGGCGGUUUUGUAAGACAGGCGUGAAAUCCCCGGGCUCAACCUGGGAACGGCGCUUGUGACUGCAAGGCUAGAGUACGGCAGAGGGGGUGGAAUUCCACGUGUAGCAGUGAAAUGCGUAGAGAUGUGGAGGAACACCGAUGGCGAAGGCAGCCCCCUGGGCCGAUACGUGACGCUGAGGAGCGAAAGCGUGGGGAGCGAACAGG
RNAcentral lists this ribosomal RNA (254 nucleotides) under uncultured bacterium. RNAcentral describes it as "partial 16S ribosomal RNA". It matches the Rfam family "Bacterial small subunit ribosomal RNA", at positions 524 to 776 of the family's 1533-position model. The record is from RNAcentral.